This 499-nucleotide ribosomal RNA is filed under the name uncultured bacterium. Its description in RNAcentral is "bacterial SSU rRNA". It matches the Rfam family "Bacterial small subunit ribosomal RNA", at positions 28 to 573 of the family's 1533-position model. The record is from RNAcentral.
AACGAACGCUGGCGGCAUGCCUAACACAUGCAAGUCGAACGAACCCUUCGGGGUUAGUGGCGCACGGGUGCGUAACGCGUGGGAACCUGCCUUUAGGUUCGGAAUAACAGUUAGAAAUGACUGCUAGUACCGGAUAAUGUCUUCGGACCAAAGACUUAUUGCCUUUAGAUGGGCCCGCGUUGGAUUAGAUAGUUGGUGGGGUAAUGGCCUACCAAGUCGACGAUCCAUGGCUGGUCUGAGAGGAUGAUCAGCCACACUGGGACUGAGACACGGCCCAGACUCCUACGGGAGGCAGCAGUGGGGAAUAUUGGACAAUGGGCGAAAGCCUGAUCCAGCAAUGCCGCGUGAGUGAUGAAGGCCUUAGGGUUGUAAAGCUCUUUUACCAGGGAUGAUAAUGACAGUACCUGGAGAAUAAGCUCCGGCUAACUCCGUGCCAGCAGCCGCGGUAAUACGGAGGGAGCUAGCGUUGUUCGGAAUUACUGGGCGUAAAGCGCACGUA